RNAcentral lists this ribosomal RNA (689 nucleotides) under uncultured Bacteroides sp. RNAcentral describes it as "bacterial SSU rRNA". It matches the Rfam family "Bacterial small subunit ribosomal RNA", at positions 32 to 715 of the family's 1533-position model. The record is from RNAcentral. Lineage: Bacteria; Pseudomonadati; Bacteroidota; Bacteroidia; Bacteroidales; Bacteroidaceae.
AACGCUAGCUACAGGCUUAACCCAUGCAAGUCGAGGGGUAGCACGGAGGAAGCUUGCUUCCUUGGGUGACGACCGGCGCACGGGUGAGUAACGCGUAUCCGACCUACCCAUAACACGGGCACAGCCGAUCGAAAGAUCGAUUGAUUCCCGAUAUGUUAUAUAAGUAGAUUAUAUAAUGAAAGAUUCAUCGGUUAUGGAUGGGGAUGCGUAAGAUUAGGUAGUAGGCGGGGUAACGGCCCACCUAGCCGACGAUCUUUAGGGGUUCUGAGAGGAAGGUCCCCCACACUGGUACUGAGACACGGACCAGACUCCUACGGGAGGCAGCAGUGAGGAAUAUUGGUCAAUGGGCGGAAGCCUGAACCAGCCAAGUAGCGUGAAGGAUUACAGCCCUACGGGUUUUAAACUUCUUUUAUAUAAGAGUAAUGUGCACUACGUGUAGUGUAUUGCAAGUAUUAUAUGAAUAAGCAUCGGCUAACUCCGUGCCAGCAGCCGCGGUAAUACGGAGGAUGCGAGCGUUAUCCGGAUUUAUUGGGUUUAAAGGGAGCGUAGGCGGGAUAUUAAGUCAGUCGUCAAAGCCUGUGGCUCAACCACAGCCCGCGAUUGAUACUGGUAUCCUUGAGUGCAGAUGAGGUGGAUGGAAUUCGUGGUGUAGCGGUGAAAUGCUUAGAUAUCACGAAGAACUCCGAUUG